UACGUAGGGGGCAAGCGUUAUCCGGAUUUACUGGGUGUAAAGGGAGUGUAGGCGGCCACGCAAGUCAGAAGUGAAAGCCCGGGGCUUAACCCCGGGACUGCUUUUGAAACUGCGCGGCUUGAGUGCAGGAGAGGUAAGCGGAAUUCCUAGUGUAGCGGUGAAAUGCGUAGAUAUUAGGAAGAACACCGGUGGCGAAGGCGGCUUACUGGACUGAGACUGACGCUGAGGCUCGAAAGCGUGGGGAGCAAAC
RNAcentral lists this ribosomal RNA (250 nucleotides) under uncultured prokaryote. Its description in RNAcentral is "partial 16S ribosomal RNA". It matches the Rfam family "Bacterial small subunit ribosomal RNA", at positions 524 to 773 of the family's 1533-position model. The record is from RNAcentral.